This 424-nucleotide ribosomal RNA is filed under the name uncultured Lactobacillus sp. RNAcentral's name for it is "bacterial SSU rRNA". It matches the Rfam family "Bacterial small subunit ribosomal RNA", at positions 358 to 774 of the family's 1533-position model. Lineage: Bacteria; Bacillati; Bacillota; Bacilli; Lactobacillales; Lactobacillaceae. The record is from RNAcentral.
GGAAUCUUCCACAAUGGACGCAAGUCUGAUGGAGCAACGCCGCGUGAGUGAAGAAGGCUUUCGGGUCGUAAAACUCUGUUAUUGAAGAAGAACGUGCGUGACAGUAACUGGUCAUGCAGUGACGGUAUUCAAUCAGAAAGUCACGGCUAACUACGUGCCAGCAGCCGCGGUAAUACGUAGGUGGCAAGCGUUAUCCGGAUUUAUUGGGCGUAAAGCGAGCGCAGGCGGUUUCUUAAGUCUGAUGUGAAAGCCUUCGGCUUAACCGAAGAAGUGCAUCGGAAACUGGGAAACUUGAGUGCAGAAGAGGACAGUGGAACUCCAUGUGUAGCGGUGAAAUGCGUAGAUAUAUGGAAGAACACCAGUGGCGAAGGCGGCUGUCUGGUCUGUAACUGACGCUGAGGCUCGAAAGCAUGGGUAGCGAACA